Molecule: ribosomal RNA, 253 nt
Filed under: uncultured bacterium
Lineage: Bacteria
Description: partial 16S ribosomal RNA
Rfam family: Bacterial small subunit ribosomal RNA
Source: RNAcentral
UACGUAGGGUGCAAGCGUUAAUCGGAAUUACUGGGCGUAAAGCGUGCGCAGGCGGUGAUGUAAGACAGAUGUGAAAUCCCCGGGCUCAACCUGGGAACUGCAUUUGUGACUGCAUCACUGGAGUACGGCAGAGGGGGAUGGAAUUCCGCGUGUAGCAGUGAAAUGCGUAGAUAUGCGGAGGAACACCGAUGGCGAAGGCAAUCCCCUGGGCCUGUACUGACGCUCAUGCACGAAAGCGUGGGGAGCAAACAGG